Molecule: long non-coding RNA, 444 nt
Filed under: Sparus aurata (gilthead seabream)
Lineage: Eukaryota; Metazoa; Chordata; Actinopteri; Spariformes; Sparidae
Description: lncRNA (ENSSAUG00010015192.1)
Source: RNAcentral
AUGGUGGUUGCUGUGAUGUGGACAUCACUUCAGUUUAAAGUGCAUUUUCAUUAUACACUCCGCCCAACGUACCCAAUUCAAGGAACGCCCAAAUACUUUAUUUUACAAAUAAUGUCUUCUCCACUGAAGAGCAGCAGAUAUGGUGGUCAAGACAGGACUUCAGUGCUUCAAACACAGAGGGGAGAACUCCUGUGGGGGCAUGCUUCUUCCUGCCCCUGCAAAGGUGAGAUGAUGGGGCCUUUAGAUGCAUCACCUGAGACCAAAGGAACCUGCAGACAUUUCACAGUGAGGGGAAAGUGUUGGCAGGAUUAUCUCCCAACGCCACAAAGAAGGCUCGGAGAAGAAUGUUAUCACAUUUGGAGAGUGAUAUUGAUUAAUGAGAACCUUUUUGUCACACACCGAGGCUACGGGAGACUGAUCACUAAAGAUCAAAACAAAGGAGAG